Molecule: ribosomal RNA, 449 nt
Filed under: uncultured bacterium
Lineage: Bacteria
Description: partial 16S ribosomal RNA
Rfam family: Bacterial small subunit ribosomal RNA
Source: RNAcentral
AACGAACGCUGGCGGCAGGCCUAACACAUGCAAGUCGAGCGAAGCCUUCGGGCUUAGCGGCGGACGGGUGAGUAACGCGUGGGAACGUGCCCUUUGGUACGGAAUAGCCCCGGGAAACUGGGAGUAAUACCGUAUGUGGUCGAGAGACGAAAGAUUUAUCGCCAAAGGAUCGGCCCGCGUUGGAUUAGGUAGUUGGUGGGGUAAUGGCCUACCAAGCCGACGAUCCAUAGCUGGUUUGAGAGGAUGAUCAGCCACACUGGGACUGAGACACGGCCCAGACUCCCACGGGAGGCAGCAGUGGGGAAUCUUAGACAAUGGGGGAAACCCUGAUCUAGCCAUGCCGCGUGAUCGAUGAAGGCCUUAGGGCUGUAAAGAUCUUUCAGUGGGGAAGAUAAUGACUGUACCCACAGAAGAAGCCCCGGCUAACUCCGUGCCAGCAGCCGCCGUAA